This 1435-nucleotide long non-coding RNA is filed under the name Numida meleagris (helmeted guineafowl). RNAcentral describes it as "lncRNA (ENSNMEG00000000202.1)". Lineage: Eukaryota; Metazoa; Chordata; Aves; Galliformes; Numididae. The record is from RNAcentral.
CUGGCAGCUCAUCCUGUGCAGCUCCUGCGCUGCUGAGGGCACACACCGACAGUGCUCCUACUUGAGCAACAGCACAAACUCCUGGGAGUGCGACAGCUGUGCCGGCCUGGGGACCGCCUCCAGCAACAACAUUGAGCUUGCUGGUCCCAGCACUGCCAGGCAGAGGGGUCUGGCGCCAUCCAACAGCAACUCGGAACCUGACAACUUCAGCUCCAGGCCCGCCAGCCAGGCAGCAUCGGGGCCACCACACGGUUCCCAGCUGCCUGAGCACAGCGACCAGCCAAGUGAGCGUGGGACAGAGCAGAGGACAAAUUGCCCACGUUCUCGUGACAAUCAGGUGUCCUCUGAGCAGCGCCGGGGACGCCGGGGGAGCGGACGCCGCGGGAGCAGACGAGCAGCAGCCCCAAGGGCUCAGAGCAGCUCCCACACAUCUACCAGACGGAGGACACCAGGGUCCUCCAGGGCGUCUCUGGCAGCUGCACACAGAAGGCGUCCCAGGCAGCAGGGAAGUAGCCGGACACGAAGCCGCUCCCCGCUGCAAGGUCGGGCCCCACGUUCCCAGUCCCGGCCAAGAAGACGCCAUGGCAGCAGGCAAAGGCCAGCCCCACGUGAGCAGAGAAGGACCCGCAGCUCAGCGAGAUCUGCAACAUCAAGGUCCUCCAGGGCUUCCUCAGUGUCUCAACACCGUGGACGGUCCACGCAGUGAGGGCAGGCCCUCACACAAAGGCACUCCCCGCACAGACGUCCGGCUUCGAAUUCCCACUGCUCACACUGAAGAGGCAGCAGGAGCCGGUCCCAACACCACACGCCGUCCCGGGAAUGAAGGUGCUCCCACGUCCAACGUCAAAGCCAAAGUCCCCGCUGCCAGCCCCCAAGUCUGCACAGGAGCUGCCAUGUGCCAUUCCCACCUGCUUGCACUGCUCCCAAGACGCCAAUACAAUAAAGCUGGGAGAUCCCCCACACACCUUUGUCAGCUUCAUUCUUCCCUGCUUUUGCCGAGGUGGGCAGAGGCAGGGACCUUGACAACAGGGCUGACUCCUCCCCAGCACCUUCACAGCCCUCACUUCACCUGGCCCAGUCCACUGUAAGAAAACACUCGAGCACAGGGUUACCCGUCAGUCGGCUAAAGGAAAACAAACCUCUGCCCGCCAGCGUGGGGAAGCAGCAACUCAGUGUGAGUUCAAAUAGCUUCAACCUUUAUUAGGGCAACAGUCCGCCUUAUAUAGCAUACUUGUUUACAGAAUAGAUGCCCCACAAAUCUCAGGAGUGUCUCAAAACAAUAUCAUUUCCCAGGCUAUUUUUCAGCACAGCACACAUUGUUAACUAAAAAGCACUACAAGCACUACAUUCCACACAUACACAGUGGGAUCGCUCCCAUGACUGGAGUGCUGCGAUGGAUGGCUACAAGCUCUUCAGGAAGGAUAGGCAAGGAAGG